AGAAUCAACGCUGGCGGCGCGCUUAACACAUGCAGGUCGAACGAGAAAGUGGAGCAAUCCAUGAGUAAAGUGGCGUACGGGUGAGUAACACGUGGAUUAUCUGCCCUUGAGUGGGGAAUAACAAUGGGAAACCGUUGCUAAUACCGCAUAUUCCCGAGAGGGGAAAGCAGCAAUGCGCUCAAGGAGGAGUCCGCGGCCGAUUAGCUAGUUGGUAGGGUAAUGGCCUACCAAGGCUUCGAUCGGUA
RNAcentral lists this ribosomal RNA (245 nucleotides) under uncultured bacterium. RNAcentral describes it as "partial small subunit ribosomal RNA". It matches the Rfam family "Bacterial small subunit ribosomal RNA", at positions 26 to 285 of the family's 1533-position model. The record is from RNAcentral.